GAGUGUUCCAAAUUUGUGAUAAAAUUAUGAAUUCCACCUUCAUGCUGCGGCAAAUCGACUCCUGUCUAUAUAACAAUGAUAUAUGAUAUCAAUAAUUAGGAAUGAUAAAUAACCAGCCUGGCUCGUCAUACUUCCCACUCUAAAUAUAAAAGAUAAAUUUAAAAUAAUAGAAAAAUGGAAGAUCGAGAAUGAACAAAGACUAUAAAAUUCUUACCAAAAUUUUUUUGUAUAAAUUCUCUAUACUAUUGUCAUCAAAUGGAAGGAAACCACAGAGUAAAGCAUAAAGAAUGACUCCCAUGCUCCAGAUGUCUACUUCUGAACCUAUCCAUAAAAUAAUUAUGACAACUUCUGUUUUUUAAUAAAAAUAGGAAAUAAUUUGAAUUAAAGAUAUUAUUAAGAACCUAAAUAUUUUUUGCCUAAUAUCAAUUCCGGUGCUGCAUAAGUUGGAGAACCACAAGAAGUAUACAAAUGCGAUUGCAUUCCACUUUUUGGUUUCGCGCAUAAACCAAAAUCAAUGAGUUUCAAGUUUUCAUCUUUAUCUAAUAAAACAUUUUCCUAUAAAUAAAUAUUAUUCAUUAUAUUCGACUAUUGAUUGAUAUGUAAAAAAAAAUAUAUAUAUAUAUAAAAACAAACAUACAGGUUUAAGAUCACGAUGAGCAUAUCCAAGGCUAUGCAAAUAUGCUACUGCGGAAACAAUUUGACGAAAAAAUUUGCGAGAUUCUGACUCGGUCAAUCUGUUUCUUUCGACUGUAAAAAUAAUUAAAUUAAUUCUUGUCUCCGAUAAAUCUAUAUUAAAUCAACAUCAAUGAAAUAAAAACAGAUGAACAAUCA
This is a long non-coding RNA of Vespula vulgaris, 831 nucleotides long. RefSeq lists it as uncharacterized. Lineage: Eukaryota; Metazoa; Arthropoda; Insecta; Hymenoptera; Vespidae. The record is from RefSeq and is a predicted model, not a curated record. The transcript is spliced from 2 exons.